RNAcentral lists this ribosomal RNA (253 nucleotides) under uncultured bacterium. RNAcentral's name for it is "partial 16S ribosomal RNA". It matches the Rfam family "Bacterial small subunit ribosomal RNA", at positions 524 to 776 of the family's 1533-position model. The record is from RNAcentral.
UACGGGGGGGGCAAGCGUUGUUCGGAAUUACUGGGCGUAAAGGGUUCGUAGGUGGCUUGCUAAGUCAGACGUGAAAUCCCUCAGCUUAACUGGGGAACUGCGUCUGAUACUGGCGAGCUUGAGUGCAGGAGAGGAACGCGGAAUUCCGGGUGUAGUGGUGAAAUGCGUAGAUAUCUGGAGGAACACCGGUGGCGAAGGCGGCGUUCUGGACUGCAACUGACACUGAGGAACGAAAGCCAGGGGAGCAAACGGG